Molecule: ribosomal RNA, 447 nt
Filed under: uncultured bacterium
Lineage: Bacteria
Description: partial 16S ribosomal RNA
Rfam family: Bacterial small subunit ribosomal RNA
Source: RNAcentral
AACGAACGCUGGCGGCAGGCUUAACACAUGCAAGUCGAACGCCCCGCAAGGGGAGUGGCAGACGGGUGAGUAACGCGUGGGAAUCUACCUAGUUCUACGGAACAACACAGGGAAACUUGUGCUAAUACCGUAUACGCCCUACGGGGGAAAGAUUUAUCGGAAUUAGAUGAGCCCGCGUUGGAUUAGCUAGUUGGUGGGGUAAUGGCCUACCAAGGCGACGAUCCAUAGCUGGUCUGAGAGGAUGAUCAGCCACACUGGGACUGAGACACGGCCCAGACUACUACGAGAGGCAGCAGUGGGGAAUAUUGGACAAUGGGCGAAAGCCUGAUCCAGCCAUGCCGCGUGAGUGAUGAAGGCCUUAGGGUUGUAAAGCUCUUUCAGUAGGGAAGAUAAUGACGGUACCUACAGAAGAAGCCCCGGCUAACUUCGUGCCAGCAGCCGCCGUAA